RNAcentral lists this ribosomal RNA (343 nucleotides) under uncultured bacterium. RNAcentral's name for it is "bacterial SSU rRNA". It matches the Rfam family "Bacterial small subunit ribosomal RNA", at positions 30 to 371 of the family's 1533-position model. The record is from RNAcentral.
AUUGAACGCUGGCGGCAGGCCUAACACAUGCAAGUCGAGCGGUAGAGAGGUGCUUGCAUCUCUUGAGAGCGGCGGACGGGUGAGUAAUGCCUAGGAAUCUGCCUAGUGGUGGGGGGAUAGCGUUCGGAAACGGACGCUAAUACCGCAUACGUCCUACGGGAGAAAGCGGGGGGAUCUUCGGACCUCGCGCCAUUAGAUGAGCCUAGGUCGGAUUAGCUAGUUGGUGAGGUAAUGGCUCACCAAGGCGACGAUCCGUAACUGGUCUGAGAGGAUGAUCAGUCACACUGGAACUGAGACACGGUCCAGACUCCUACGGGAGGCAGCAGUGGGGAAUAUUGGACAA